RNAcentral lists this ribosomal RNA (253 nucleotides) under uncultured bacterium. RNAcentral describes it as "partial 16S ribosomal RNA". It matches the Rfam family "Bacterial small subunit ribosomal RNA", at positions 524 to 776 of the family's 1533-position model. The record is from RNAcentral.
UACGUAGGGUGCAAGCGUUGUCCGGAAUUAUUGGGCGUAAAGAGCUCGUAGGCGGCUUGUCACGUCGGCUGUGAAAACCUGGGGCUCAACCCCGGGCCUGCAGCCGAUACGGGCAAGCUAGAAUUCGGUAGGGGAGACUGGAAUUCCUGGUGUAGCGGUGAAAUGCGCAGAUAUCAGGAGGAACACCGGUGGCGAAGGCGGAUCUCUGGGCCGAUAUUGACGCUGAGGAGCGAAAGCGUGGGGAGCGAACAGG